Molecule: small RNA, 28 nt
Filed under: Bombyx mori (domestic silkworm)
Lineage: Eukaryota; Metazoa; Arthropoda; Insecta; Lepidoptera; Bombycidae
Description: ovarian small RNA-15719
Source: RNAcentral
GAGAUAGUGUGUCGGCCACGACAUUAGU